CUAUAGAUAAUAUAUCUCAUGCACUCUUCUGUCGAAGCCCUUCGUGUUUCCCAAGUCGAGUAAGAUUCGUUAUCCCUUUGCGGAAUCGAAUAUUCAUUCUACCCCAGUUGUUUGGAUAAUUGCCUUGUUCGCACAAUUUAUCCCCAGUGAGUCAUCUCUCGUCUACCCUGUCGUUGUUGGUAACGAUUGUUUCUCUUUUCGGUCGAUU
This 208-nucleotide long non-coding RNA is filed under the name Lathyrus oleraceus (garden pea). Its description in RNAcentral is "Pisum sativum (pea) long non-coding RNA (PSAT_LNC030431)". The record is from RNAcentral. Lineage: Eukaryota; Viridiplantae; Streptophyta; Magnoliopsida; Fabales; Fabaceae.